UACGUAGGUGGCGAGCGUUAUCCGGAAUUACUGGGCGUAAAGCGUACGCAGGCGGCUUCUUAAGUCUGACGUGAAAGCUCACGGCUUAACUGGGAGAGGUCGUUGGAGACUGGGGGGCUUGAGGCGAUGAGAGGGGUGUAGAAUUCCCGGUGUAGUGGUGGAAUGCGUAGAUAUCGGGAGGAAUACCAGUGGCGAAAGCAACACCCUGGCAUAGGCCUGACGCUCAUGUACGAAAGCGUGGGGAGCAAUCGGG
This 253-nucleotide ribosomal RNA is filed under the name uncultured bacterium. RNAcentral's name for it is "partial 16S ribosomal RNA". It matches the Rfam family "Bacterial small subunit ribosomal RNA", at positions 524 to 776 of the family's 1533-position model. The record is from RNAcentral.